RNAcentral lists this ribosomal RNA (981 nucleotides) under uncultured bacterium. Its description in RNAcentral is "bacterial SSU rRNA". It matches the Rfam family "Bacterial small subunit ribosomal RNA", at positions 271 to 1271 of the family's 1533-position model. The record is from RNAcentral.
AGGCGACGACGGGUAGCCGGCCUGAGAGGGUGAUCGGCCCAUUGGGACUGAGAUACGGCCCAGACUCCUACGGGAGGCAGCAGUGGGGAAUAUUGCACAAUGGGCGGAAGCCUGAUGCAGCGACGCCGCGUGAGGGAUGACGGCCUUCGGGUUGUAAACCUCUUUCAGCAGGGACGAAGCGUAAGUGACGGUACCUGCAGAAGAAGCACCGGCUAACUAUGUGCCAGCAGCCGCGGUAAUACGUAGGGUGCGAGCGUUGUCCGGAAUUACUGGGCGUAAAGAGCUCGUAGGCGGUUUGUCACGUCGUCUGUGAAAUCCUAGGGCUUAACCCUGGACGUGCAGGCGAUACGGGCUGACUUGAGUACUACAGGGGAGACUGGAAUUUCUGGUGUAGCGGUGGAAUGCACAGAUAUCAGGAAGAACACCGAUGGCGAAGGCAGGUCUCUGGGUAGUAACUGACGCUGAGGAGCGAAAGCAUGGGUAGCGAACAGGAUUAGAUACCCUGGUAGUCCAUGCCGUAAACGGUGGGCGCUAGGUGUGGGGUUCCUUCCACGGGCUCCGCGCCGUAGCUAACGCAUUAAGCGCCCCGCCUGGGGAGUACGGCCGCAAGGCUAAAACUCAAAGAAAUUGACGGGGGCCCGCACAAGCGGCGGAGCAUGUGGAUUAAUUCGAUGCAACGCGAAGAACCUUACCUGGGCUUGACAUAUAGAGGAUCGCUACAGAGAUGUGGUUUCCCUUGUGGCUUCUAUACAGGUGGUGCAUGGUUGUCGUCAGCUCGUGUCGUGAGAUGUUGGGUUAAGUCCCGCAACGAGCGCACCCUUGUCUUAUGUUGCCAGCACGUUAUGGUGGGGACUCGUGAGAGACUGCCGGGGUCACUCGGAGGAAGUGGGGAUGACGUCAAUCAUCAUGCCCCUUAUGUCAGGGCUUCACACAUGCUACAAUGGCCGGUACAGAGGCUGCGAUGCCGUGAGGCGGAGCGAA